This 488-nucleotide ribosomal RNA is filed under the name Hansenula anomala. RNAcentral describes it as "eukaryotic LSU rRNA". It matches the Rfam family "Eukaryotic large subunit ribosomal RNA", at positions 151 to 654 of the family's 3401-position model. Lineage: Eukaryota; Fungi; Ascomycota; Saccharomycetes; Phaffomycetales; Wickerhamomycetaceae. The record is from RNAcentral.
AAGAUGGUAACCUUGGGUUUGGCUCUUGUCUAUGUUCCUUGGAACAGGACGUCAUAGAGGGUGAGAAUCCCGUCUGAUGAGAUGCCCAUUCCUAUGUAAGGUGCUAUCGAAGAGUCGAGUUGUUUGGGAAUGCAGCUCUAAGUGGGUGGUAAAUUCCAUCUAAAGCUAAAUAUUGGCGAGAGACCGAUAGCGAACAAGUACAGUGAUGGAAAGAUGAAAAGAACUUUGAAAAGAGAGUGAAAAAGUACGUGAAAUUGUUGAAAGGGAAGGGCAUUAGAUCAGACUUGGUGUUUUACGAUUAUCUUCUCUUCUUGAGUUGUGCACUCGUAUUUCACUGGGCCAGCAUCGAUUCGGAUGGCAAGAUAAUGGCAGUUGAAUGUGGCUUCACUUCGGUGGAGUGUUAUAGCUUCUGCUGAUAUUGCCUGUCUGGAUCGAGGGCUGCGUCUUUUGACUAGGAUGCUGGCGUAAUGAUCUAAUGCCGCCCGUUG